UGGGGAAUAUUGCACAAUGGGCGCAAGCCUGAUGCAGCCAUGCCGCGUGUGUGAAGAAGGCCUUCGGGUUGUAAAGCACUUUCAGCGAGGAGGAAGGUGGUGAGCUUAAUACGCUCAUCAAUUGACGUUACUCGCAGAAGAAGCACCGGCUAACUCCGUGCCAGCAGCCGCGGUAAUACGGAGGGUGCAAGCGUUAAUCGGAAUUACUGGGCGUAAAGCGCACGCAGGCGGUUUGUUAAGUCAGAUGUGAAAUCCCCGGGGCUCAACCUGGGAACUGCAUUUGAAACUGGCAAGCUAGAGUCUCGUAGAGGGGGGUAGAAUUCCAGGUGUAGCGGUGAAAUGCGUAGAGAUCUGGAGGAAUACCGGUGGCGAAGGCGGCCCCCCUGGACGAAGACUGACGCUCAGGUGCGAAAGGCGUGGGGAGCAAAACAGGAUUAGAUACCCUGGUAGUCCACGCUGUAAACGAUGUCGAUUUUGGAGGUUGUGCCCCUUGAGGCGUGGCUUCCGGAGCUAACGCGUUAAA
This 523-nucleotide ribosomal RNA is filed under the name uncultured bacterium. RNAcentral's name for it is "partial 16S ribosomal RNA". It matches the Rfam family "Bacterial small subunit ribosomal RNA", at positions 355 to 864 of the family's 1533-position model. The record is from RNAcentral.